RNAcentral lists this ribosomal RNA (435 nucleotides) under uncultured bacterium. Its description in RNAcentral is "partial 16S ribosomal RNA". It matches the Rfam family "Bacterial small subunit ribosomal RNA", at positions 28 to 506 of the family's 1533-position model. The record is from RNAcentral.
GAUGAACGCUGGCGGUCUGCUUAACACAUGCAAGUCGAACGGGCUCUUUCGGGGGCUAGUGGCGGACGGGUGAGUAACGCGUGAGAAUCUGCCCUUUGGAGGGGGAUAACGGUUGGAAACGACCGCUAAUACCCCAUGUGCCGAGAGGGAAAAAGUAAUUCGCCAAGGGAUGGGCUCGCUUCGGAUUAGCUAGUUGGUGGGGUAAGAGCCCACCAAGGCGACGAUCCGUAGCUGGUCUGAGAGGAUGACCAGCCACACUGGGACUGAGACACGGCCCAGACUCCUACGGGAGGCAGCAGUGGGGAAAUUGCCGCAAUGGGCGCAAGCCUGACGGAGCAAGACCGCGUGAGGGAAGACGGUCUGUGGAUUGUAAACCUCUUUUGACAGGGAAGAAGUACGGACGGUACUUGUCGAAUCAGCCUCGGCUAACUCCGG